UUCUUUUUUUUUUUUUUUUUUAAAUGUAUGAGUGCACUGUUGCUAUCUUCAGAAACAUCAGAAGAGGGCAUCGGAUCCCAUUACAGAUGGUUGUGAGCCACCAUGUGGUUGCUAGGAAUUGAACUCAGGACCUCUGGAAGAACAGUCAGUGCUCUUAACCACUGAGACAUCUCUCCAGACUGGCUGGUAUUUUUUUUAGGGGGUAGGGGGGCUUCAUAUUAAACUUGUAAUUUUUAUUAGAUUUGAUUUUUAACAAACGUGUCAGGGAGAAAGCCCACAGGAAAGGGUAAAGCCUGUGGAGGCAAGGCCUUCCUAGAUGCCUGAGGAGGGAUCGUGUCCCCUCCCCCCCUUCUCGUCACAGGCAGGGAAGGGGGCUGGUCCCUAGUCUGUACAGUGGUGCUUGGGGGUGAAGGACUAUGGAGAACAGGGGACCAGAUGGGUUUGAGUGGGAUAAAGGGCACAAGACCAUUUGCCAGAAUCCACAGCUUUCUGAUUCCAACUUGAAAUAAAAAGAAAAAGGGAGAGGGGAACCUAAACCACAGGCAGUACCCACUCCCUUUCCCCCAUCAGGGCUGUGAGAGAAGAGGCAGGUAGCUUCACCAAGGCCAUGGCUCCCUCAUGCCUGGCCAAGGGAGCUAGGUGAAGGGCAGGGUCUCCCCGCCAGUUUGAAGGGGUGAGGAAAACCAAAAUCAAACGUCAAAUACAUUGGAUAGGAGUCCAGCCAACUGCUCAGCCAGAGCUAGGGGAGGGCCCUCUGUUGGCUCAUGGAUCACUGCUGCCACCACCGCCACCUGGUAGCCAGUUAUUUUGCCAUGGUCUUGACUGAGUGAUAUUUUUAAAAUAGGCACAUAUAUUGUUUUGUUGAGUCAGAGUCUCUCUCUAUAGACCUGGCUGGCCUGGAAUUCACUGUGUUGACCAGGCUGGCCUGGAAAUCAUAAAGAUCUGAUUGCCUCUGCCUUCCAGGUGCUAGGAUUAAAGGCGUAUGCACAUGCCUGGCUCUAAGUAAUCUUCAUUACCUAAAGAAACAGGUUUUUAACAAUUCUAUGCCGGAAGUGGUGGCACAUACUAUUAAUCCCAGCACUUGGAAAGAAGAAGCGGACAGAUCUUUGUGAGUUCAAGUCCAGUUCUUGGUCUACAGAUCAAGUUCCAGAGCAGUCAGAACUACACAGAGAAACCCUGUCUCAGAAAAACAAAACAACACAAAACACCACCACCACCAAAAUUCUGUUAAAUUUCCAAUCCUGACCUUGUAAUAUGACAGGGCUGUUACCAUCUAGAAUUUAUAAGACUCAGUUCCAUAAGUGGCAAUACACACUUGAAAUGCCAACACUUGGGAUUCAGAUACAGGAGGAACAGUAGUUUAAAACUAGGUAUUUUACUAAAGGAAAAGGGGCUUUUUUUUUUUUUUAAAGAAAGAUAUCAUUCCAUUUUUGGAAAUGUCUAUUCUUGUA
Molecule: long non-coding RNA, 1451 nt
Filed under: Rattus norvegicus (Norway rat)
Lineage: Eukaryota; Metazoa; Chordata; Mammalia; Rodentia; Muridae
Description: long non-coding RNA NONRATT033942
Source: RNAcentral